Molecule: ribosomal RNA, 234 nt
Filed under: uncultured bacterium
Lineage: Bacteria
Description: partial 16S ribosomal RNA
Rfam family: Bacterial small subunit ribosomal RNA
Source: RNAcentral
CGGGACGGGGUGGAGUAAUGUCUGGGAAACUGCCUGAUGGAGGGGGAUAACUACUGGAACGGUAGCUAAUACCGCAUAACGUCGCAAGACCAAAGAGGGGGACCUUAGGGCCUCUUGCCAUCGGAUGUGCCCAGAUGGGAUUAGCUAGUAGGUGGGGUAACGGCUCACCUAGGCGACGAUCCCUAGCUGGUCUGAGAGGAUGACCAGCCACACUGGAACUGAGACACGGUCCAG